ACGGGAGGCAGCAGUAGGGAAUUUUCGGCAAUGGGCAGAAGCCUGACCGAGCAACGCCGCGUGAAUGAUGAAGUAUUUCGGUAUGUAAAGUUCUUUUAUUUGGGAAGAAAAAACAAAUUGACGGUACCAAAUGAAUAAGCCCCGGCUAACUACGUGCCAGCAGCCGCGGUAAUACGUAGGGGGCAAGCGUUAUCCGGAAUUAUUGGGCGUAAAGGGUGCGUAGGCGGGUUAUCAAGUCUUUGGUUAAAAUGCGGUGCUCAACGCCGUAUCGCCAAAGAAACUGAUAGUCUAGAGUAUGGUAGAAGUGAGUGGAACUCCAUGUGUAGCGGUAAAAUGCGUAAAUAUAUGGAAGAACACCAGUGGCGAAGGCGGCUCACUAGGCCAAUACUGACGCUGAGACACGAAAGCGUGGGGAGCAAACAGGAUUAGAUACCCUGGUA
This 440-nucleotide ribosomal RNA is filed under the name uncultured Anaeroplasma sp. RNAcentral describes it as "partial 16S ribosomal RNA". It matches the Rfam family "Bacterial small subunit ribosomal RNA", at positions 341 to 792 of the family's 1533-position model. The record is from RNAcentral. Lineage: Bacteria; Bacillati; Mycoplasmatota; Mollicutes; Anaeroplasmatales; Anaeroplasmataceae.